GAUGAACGCUGGCGGCGUGCUUAACACAUUCAAGUCGAACGAAGUAGCAAUACUUAGUGGCGGACGGGUGAGUAACGCGUGAGCAACCUGCCUUUGUGAGGGGGAUAACGUUUGGAAACGAACGCUAAUACCGCAUAAUGCAUAGAAGUCACAUGGCUUUUAUGCCAAAGAUUUAUCGCACAAAGAUGGGCUCGCGUCUAAUUAGAUAGUUGGUGGGGUAACGGCCUACCAAGUCGACGAUUAGUAGCCGGACUGAGAGGUUGAACGGCCACAUUGGAACUGAGAUACGGUCCAG
RNAcentral lists this ribosomal RNA (295 nucleotides) under uncultured bacterium. RNAcentral describes it as "partial 16S ribosomal RNA". It matches the Rfam family "Bacterial small subunit ribosomal RNA", at positions 28 to 334 of the family's 1533-position model. The record is from RNAcentral.